This 73-nucleotide transfer RNA is filed under the name Eumeta variegata. Its description in RNAcentral is "Clania variegata tRNA-Asp". The record is from RNAcentral. Lineage: Eukaryota; Metazoa; Arthropoda; Insecta; Lepidoptera; Psychidae.
AAAGAAUUAGUUAAAUAAAUAACAUAAAUAUGUCAAAUUUAAAUUAUUAUUAUUAAUUAAAUAAUAUUCUUUU